AUUCAAUUGACGAGUCCCAAACGGGAAGAAACGCGUGUCCUGAAU
RNAcentral lists this non-coding RNA (45 nucleotides) under Schistosoma mattheei. Lineage: Eukaryota; Metazoa; Platyhelminthes; Trematoda; Strigeidida; Schistosomatidae. The record is from RNAcentral.